RNAcentral lists this ribosomal RNA (403 nucleotides) under uncultured bacterium. RNAcentral describes it as "bacterial SSU rRNA". It matches the Rfam family "Bacterial small subunit ribosomal RNA", at positions 355 to 774 of the family's 1533-position model. The record is from RNAcentral.
GAGGGAAUAUUGGUUAAUGUGCGAAAGCGCGAACCAGCAACGCCGCGUGUACGAAGAAGGCCUUCGGGUUGUAAAGUACUUUUCACCGGGAAGAGGAAGGACGGUACCGGUGGAAUAAGUCUCGGCUAACUACGUGCCAGCAGCCGCGGUAACACGUAGUAGACGAGCGUUAUCCGGAUUUACUUGGUGUAAAGCGCGUGCAGGCGGUCUGUUAAGUUGGAUGUGAAAGCUCCCGGCUAAACUGGGAGAGGUCGUUAAAAACUGGCAGGCUAGAGUGUGGUAGAGGGGAGGGGAAUUCCGAGUGUAGCGGUAAAAUGCAUAGAUAUUCGGAAGAACACCAGUGGCGAAGGCGACUUCCUGGACCACAACUGACGCUCAGACGCGAAAGACAGGGUAGCAAACG